This is a long non-coding RNA of Ictalurus punctatus (channel catfish), 534 nucleotides long. The record is from Ensembl. Lineage: Eukaryota; Metazoa; Chordata; Actinopteri; Siluriformes; Ictaluridae.
UGGAAGUGAAAAUAUUUUCUUUUCAUCAUGAGGAAGGGAAUGUAAAAUUUUUGUGUGUGUGCGGUCCUGGAGAGAACACACGGAGCAGCGCGAGAUCUGAUUAAUGACAUGAUUAGCCUAAUAAAAACAAGUUUUCCGCUACAGAUAGUAAUGUGACAGUUUGGCUAAGACGCUGCAGAUUGUUUAUUUAUUUAUUUACUUCUCACGGAUUUCUCAGACACUGGAAAUAACUAAUGGGUAAAACAGUUCUUCUGAGACUGCUGGGGUUUCUGAUACAGGUUGUGAGUUUUCCUGGUCUGAGUGGUCCAGCGUCUGUCCGUGUACAGGUGGAGUUCUGCAGAUUUCCACUCAGCCUUGAGCCUGAUGCUUACACACUUUUAUUGGGAAACAAGGUGCUGAGCAGCAGUGUGGUGUGUCAGGGUGUGUGUGAGUGUAUCAUGGAUGUACUUGUACCAGAGUCGUCUCCGGAACUGAAUCUGACUUUACAGUCGUACGAACGGGGCAAGAUGUUGGAGGGCAGAUUCUUCAGGCUGG